This 403-nucleotide unclassified non-coding RNA is filed under the name Hevea brasiliensis (rubber tree). The record is from RNAcentral. Lineage: Eukaryota; Viridiplantae; Streptophyta; Magnoliopsida; Malpighiales; Euphorbiaceae.
GCAAAGAAGAGUACUGGGAGUGGAGGGAAGAAGAAGGGCCCAGCACAAUUGAGGGUUUUCAAUUUGGGAAAUACAUCUCCUGUACCUGUUACUGAUCUUGUGGGCAUUUUGGAAAGGCUUUUGAAGGUGAAGGCCAAGAGGAAUAUUAUGAAGUUGCCUAGGAAUGGGGAUGUUCAGUUUACACACGCCAAUAUUAGUUUGGCUCAGAGCGAACUUGGGUAUAAGCCCACCACAGAUCUGCAGACAGGGUUGAAGAAGUUUGUGCGAUGGUACCUCAGUUACUAUCAUGUUGGAGGGAAGAAGGCAGAUGCAUGAUGAAUUUAAUUCUUUCAGUUCUGUGUUCGGGUACUUGAAAAAAUUUAUUGUUCAUCAUGAUUCUUGUGAUUGUUUUUUCUUAACAUUU